GGAUAUUUUCCUGAAAAUCUGAUGUCUACAGUUUCGGGGUCCUGGUAUUGGAGAUAAUUAGCAGCAAGAAGAAUACAAGCUUCUGUAUCCCUGAGCAACAGCUAGGCUUUCUUGCCUUUGCAUAUAUGGCAGUUGUGGAAUGAAGGCAGGGGCUUGGAAUUGGUAGAUGAAGAAUUGGCUGAUUCAUAUUCUUCAUCAGACGUAAUGAGAUGUGUUCAUAUUGGGCUUCUUUGUGUACAAGACAAUGCCGCAGAUAGGCCAACCAUGCCGGAUAUAGUUUUGAUGCUAGGUACUGACACAGAUAUUCCACAACCUACGCAGCCGCCACCAUACCGUGAUUGGAGGACGAUAAGCGACUGGAAAUUGUUGCAUCACAAUCAUCCAAUAAAUUGCAAAGAUCGACCUUGA
Rosa chinensis is the source of this 408-nucleotide long non-coding RNA. RefSeq lists it as uncharacterized. The transcript is spliced from 3 exons. NCBI's taxonomy places the organism in Eukaryota, Viridiplantae, Streptophyta, Magnoliopsida, Rosales, Rosaceae. The record is from RefSeq and is a predicted model, not a curated record.